UCCUGUGUGGCUCAGUUGGUAGAGUAUGGCGCUUGCAAUGCCAGGGUUGUGGGUUCGGUUUCCCACGGGAG
RNAcentral lists this transfer RNA (71 nucleotides) under Salmo salar (Atlantic salmon). It matches the Rfam family "tRNA". Rfam says of the family: Transfer RNA (tRNA) molecules are approximately 80 nucleotides in length. The record is from Rfam by way of RNAcentral. Lineage: Eukaryota; Metazoa; Chordata; Actinopteri; Salmoniformes; Salmonidae.